This 469-nucleotide ribosomal RNA is filed under the name uncultured bacterium. RNAcentral describes it as "partial 16S ribosomal RNA". It matches the Rfam family "Bacterial small subunit ribosomal RNA", at positions 28 to 507 of the family's 1533-position model. The record is from RNAcentral.
GACGAACGCUGGCGGCGUGCUUAACACAUGCAAGUCGAACGGAAAGGCCCUGCUUGCAGGGUGCUCGAGUGGCGAACGGGUGAGUAACACGUGGGUGAUCUGCCCCUUACUUUGGGGUAAGCCUGGGAAACUGGGUCUAAUACUGGAUAGGACCAUGCUGUAGGUGGUGUGGUGGAAAGAUUAGUUUCGGUAAGGGAUGAGCUCGCGGCCUAUCAGCUUGUUGGUGGGGUAAUGGCCUACCAAGGCGUCGACGGGUAGCCGGCCUGAGAGGGUGGACGGCCACAUUGGGACUGAGAUACGGCCCAGAAUCCUACGGGAGGCAGCAGUGGGGAAUAUUGCACAAUGGGCGCAAGCCUGAUGCAGCGACGCCGCGUGGGGGAUGACGGCCUUCGUGUUGUAAACUCCUUUCAGCCAUGACGAAGCCCUUGUGGUGACGGUAGUGGUAGAAGAAGCACCGGCUAACUACGUG